AUGGAGCCGGACGCCGAGCAGCUGGUGCGCCGCUACUUCGUGGCCAGCCGGCGCGUGCGCACCUCAAACGUGCCGGACGUGCCUGUGGCAGCUGUCAACACCAUCACGGGGUUGGCGCACGCCUUCGCGCAGCUGUCUCUGCGGCGUGACGUCACCGUGGAUGACGUCACCAUGGCGGUCCUGCUGUACGAGGAGUCGCUGGUGGCGUGCUUCGGGUACUCGCCGCUGGACGUCGGCCACACGCCGCACGUGCGUGAGGCGGAUCUGGACGCCAACCUGGGUAGGCAGAACGACGAAAGGAUGCGGGAGUUCCAGCGCCGUCUGGAGGACUUCAUCGACGAGUGGGCAGAUCUGUGAACAGCCACGAGGCGAAGCCUGGCGGACUGGACGACCAGGGUGUCUCUGGAAACUAGAUCAGGGUGUUCGUCUCUUCUCUUUGAUUGAGUCCAGUCUCGAAUCCAGGGUGUACGACCUCGGUCAGGCAUACUGUCUUGACUGAUUGUCAGUUAUUCUGUUCUAGUCCUUCCACCAUGGUUGAAGCAUACUUGUUUUCCUUUGCUGCUGCCGGCGCUCGAUUGUCGUCGUCAUAUCGUUUUUUGUCUUUUCAUCGUCACUUGAAGUGUAGCUGUUAUUGGUUCUGUUGCAAGCGCUCCGAAAAUUGUCCUGUUUAAGAAUUCACGUCAUCAUUUAAUGAGUUGUGUGUUGUUUGAAGUAUGUGAACGCUGAGGUUGUAGCAAU
Molecule: long non-coding RNA, 738 nt
Organism: Pollicipes pollicipes
Lineage: Eukaryota; Metazoa; Arthropoda; Thecostraca; Pollicipedomorpha; Pollicipedidae
Exons: 3
Source: RefSeq, a predicted model, not a curated record